Molecule: transfer RNA, 86 nt
Filed under: Heterocephalus glaber (naked mole-rat)
Lineage: Eukaryota; Metazoa; Chordata; Mammalia; Rodentia; Bathyergidae
Description: Selenocysteine transfer RNA
Rfam family: Selenocysteine transfer RNA
Source: Rfam by way of RNAcentral
GCCUGGAUGAUCCUCAGUGGUCUGGGGUGCAGGCUUCAAACUUGUAGCUGUCUGGCAAUAAAGUGGUUCAAUUUCACCUUCUGGGC